UACAGAGGGUGCAAGCGUUAAUCGGAAUUACUGGGCGUAAAGCGUGCGUAGACGGUUACAUAAGUCGGGUGUGAAAGCCCCGGGCUCAACCUGGGAAUUGCAUUCGAGACUGCGUAGCUAGGGUGCGGAAGAGGGAAGCGGAAUUUCCGGUGUGAGCGGUGAAAUGCGUAGAUAUCGGAAGGAACACCAGUGGCGAAAGCGGCUCCUGGUCCAGCACCGACGUCAGGCACGAAAGCGUGGGGAGCAAACAGG
This 252-nucleotide ribosomal RNA is filed under the name uncultured bacterium. Its description in RNAcentral is "partial 16S ribosomal RNA". It matches the Rfam family "Bacterial small subunit ribosomal RNA", at positions 524 to 776 of the family's 1533-position model. The record is from RNAcentral.